Molecule: long non-coding RNA, 8293 nt
Organism: Homo sapiens (human)
Lineage: Eukaryota; Metazoa; Chordata; Mammalia; Primates; Hominidae
Exons: 4
Source: RefSeq, a predicted model, not a curated record
UGGGCUCGUGUCCAAAUGGCAAAGUUUGACACAAGCUGAGGAGGAGAACAUUCCUUUAUGGCAUCCUGUACUUUGUUGAACAGAAGCAAUGAUAACAGGUACUCCUGCCUUUUCCUGGAAUUUGAAAGUGCCUGUGGCUGUCUUCCUGCUGUCCCGGUAACCACUGUCAUCUGACCUAAAACCACGGACUGAGAGGGCUCAUCAAAAACAGGUUCUUGCUUUGAACAACAGAACACUUUGAGUGACUCACUGGUCAGAUGCUGUAAGGUAUUUUUUUAUUUUUAUUUUUGCUAAAGCUAAAAAUACAUUAAUCAGUUAUGUCUGUAGAUGUUUUGAAGACCUAAUAAAGAAUGAAGAAAAUAUUCAUUUGUAUAUUAAGCAGUUAUUAUUAGGCCUAUAUUUCUUUUUUUAGAGACAGGGUCUCACUCUGUCACCCAGGCUGGAAUGCAGUGGCAUGAUUCUACCUCACUGCAAUCGAGAACUCCUGGGUUCAAAUGAUCCUCCUGCCUCAGCCUUCCAAGUAGCUAGUACUACCAGCCACACCACCAUACCUGGCUAAUUUUUUUUAUUUUAAUUUUUUUGUAGAGACAGGUCUUGCUAUAUUGUCCAGGCUGGUUUUGAACUCUUGGCCUCAAGCCAUCUUUCUGCCUUGGCCUCCCAAAAUGUUGGGAUUACAGGCAUGAGCCACCCUAACCACCUAGGCUUAUAUAUUUUUUUGCUCUAUUUUAUAAAUAAUUAUUUUAGAGUAGAACAGGGAAAUAAGAAGUGUUCGUUAUUUUUGGCAUAGUUGUGAUGAUUCUUGUGCAGUUGGUUUUCUCUGCCUGGCGGUAACCAGGCAACAAGAGUUGUCACAAGAAUGAACUGUGAAGACUGAAUUUUUAAAAAUUAAGUCUUUAAAAAAAUCACCUUCCCAUAGUUCAUAUUUUCUAUUUCAUCCAAAUUCUUUUUAAUUUAAAUCUUAAAAUAUAGUCAAACCUUCAAGAUGGAAUGCUAUAUUUUAAUCAGUUUUUAUUUAGCUGUUAUUUAGACAUUUUUAGUCAAACUUUAAACAUUUUUAGCUAUUCUGUUUUUGCAGUGUUUCUUUGAAAAGCUGGGGAAAUAAUUUUUGAUAAUGCUGAUGCAGUAUAGCACUAAGCCAAAAAUUCCGUGUUGGAUAUUCUUUAGCUAAUUGCUAGUUCCGUGACCCUAGGCCAGUUUCAAUGUAGAAGUAAAAUAAUAGAACUAACCUCAUAAGACUGUUUGGAGAAUUCAGUGAGAUUAUGCACACAAAACACUUGACAUAUACCUUGGUACUCAAUGAGUGGUUAGUCAAUGUUAGUUUAUAUCAGCUAUGUUAAUACUUAUCUGUUAAGAGAUGCAGAAAAUUUCUGAUUUCAGUAAUUAUUAGUGUUAACUUCCUGCUUAAGGGGAUCACUGCCUGGGGUCGGGAGCUGUCUUUUUAAACAUCUGGUUCCAGUGUGAAGGUGAAUAUUUUACAGUCAACUCUUCCAUGAGAACUACAGGUGGGAAAUGCAGAAAUAAUCUUAAUUGGAUGCUCCAAAAGCCAUUAGUGGAUAUUAUUCAGAACCAUUCCUUAUUUUGAAGUAUGAUAUAUAUUUAACAGGUAAAAAUGUACAUUUUAGAUUAGAAUUAUGUAAAACUUUUAUGUGUUGUCCAAUAAUCACUUACAGUUUUAUCGUUUUCAAUAGUUUUAUUCUGUUUUUCUUUGUUUAUAUGUAGGUUAAUUUAUAUUUUUUACCAGCAAUCUUACUUCAUUUUCUGCUGCCGAAUAACAGGGAACCUCAGGUUGGGUAAAGAAAAAUUUAAGUGGCCCAUAGUUUUAGUGGCUGGGAAGACCAAGAGCAUGGUGCCGGGAUCUGGCAAGAGGCUUUGUGUUGCAUCCUAACAUAGUGGAAGUUCAGUUGUACUUUCUUCAUUCCAGAUGCACAGAAAAGAAAUAUUUUAUUUAUCUUUUAUGACACAUUGUGAACAAUGGUGCUGGAAGAAUGAACUUAGAAUACAGGUGGUCAGGGGGCUGCAAGACGGCUGACUAGAGGCACUUGGCACUGGGCACUCACCUGCUUCACAAACAAGGACCAAAACAGCAAAUAGAUAACCACAUGUUGAACAGAGCUUCUAAGAGAGAACACUAGCAUACAGCAAGAAAGUGACAGGGAACCCCUGAGGUACAGAAGGAGAGGAAAGCAAGGCAGCCAUACUGGCCAGGAUUGACUUGGAGCCAGGAGAAAUUCUCCAUUAUGAGGAAAAUGUAAGUGAGAGAUUCUCAGUGGUCUACAUUCCCAUCAUGCACUCCUGCAAUUCUAGCCACUUGAUAAGCCCCUUAGCUCUUUUGGGCCCUGAGUUAGUACAGGGAGCUGCCUGGUGUCCAGAUGACAGCACUGAUCCAGAGAGGAAGUGUGUACUGGGUCCCAUACAUCCCCCGAGACUCAAGCAGCUGCAGCACAGUAUAAUUUUGUACUACUCUGGUGGGACUGGGCUCUCAAAAUGAUGAGAUAGUACCUAUACAUCCACAUUUCUGAAGCCUUGUUGAUAUCCCUGACAUCAACCCAGAAGGCUGCAAUAUUGUGACACCAGCUGGACCCGGCAGUGGGAAGAGGGCCCCAGCAUUCUAGCCCACUCAGUGUUCUACAGUUCAGGGAAUAAGCAGUGCAGUGUACCAGGGAGGCUGCAUCUGGGACAAAGAGAGGGUGUGCUGCUCGGAGCCAGAGAGCUGCCUGCCUGGAGCCGCUGCCGCUGACAGAAACCCCACCCCAUUUGGCAGCAGGACCACUGUGCAUCUGCACACACCUUUAAGUGGUCUGGGAACUAGAACAGUCUUGGGGCCUGAGGACAGGCCCAUACGGACUGCCACUGCUAGUGCCCAAAUAUGUUUUUUGGCGGCCUGAAGACAGGCCCACCCAACCUGCCACUGAUACCUGCAUGCAUCUCCAAGGGAACCAGGGACUGGUUUGCCCAGCCUUCCGCUGCUGCCACCACUGAUACCCACUUGUGUUCACCAGCUUGACUGGGGACUAGCCUGCCUGGCCAACUGCUGCCUCUGCUGUCAGCCUUAGCAUGAGGCUUGGGGCCUGAGGGUUGUCCUGUUGCCACUACUGCCAUUGGUGAUUCCACACAUGCUGAGCAGGGACCCAAGGACCCAUUGGCCUGGCCUACCAAUGCCAUUACUGGCACCCAAAUAAGCUGUCUGGAGGCACAAGGACCAGCAUGCUCAGAUCUACCACUAUUGGCAUCCCUAUUUGGCACCUGGAGGCCCAAAGAUCAGCAUGCCUGCCAUACUGCCAAAAAAUUGAAGAGGAGAGAAUCUUUCUAAGCAUACUAGGAGGCCAGCAUUAACACUGGUAGCAAAAGCAGACAAUGCUGUACAUAAAAAUAAAACUAUAGGCCAGUAUCUCUGAUGAACAUAGAAGCAAAAAUCUCAACAAAUGCAAACCAAAUGCAACAACACAUCAGAAAGAUAAUACACUGCGAUCAAGUGAGAUUUAUCCCAGGAAUGCAAGGAUGGUACAACAGAUGCAAAUUAAUACACAUGAUACAUCACAUCAACAGAACAAAGGAUGAAAUACAUAUGAUCGUAUCAAUAGAUACAGAAAAAGGAGUUGACAAAAUUUAACAUCUCUUCAUGAUAAAAACUCUCAAUAAUGUAGGAAUUAAAGGAAUAUACCACAACAUAAUAAGGUUGAUGUAAAACAAAUCCACGGCUAACAUCAUGCUGAAUGGAGAAAAGCUAAAAACUUUUCUUUUAUGAAUUAGGAUAAGACAAAGAUGCCCACUUUUACCACUCUUAUUCAACAUACUAUUGGAAGUGCUAGUUAGAGCAAUCAGGCAAAAGCUAGAAAUAAAAGGCAUACAAAUCAGAAAGAGGAAGUCAAAUUGUCUUUGUAGAUGAUGUGAUAUUAUAUUUAGAAAAGCUUAAAGCCUCUACCAAAAAAACUCUUUGAACUGGUAAAUUCAGCAAAGUUGUGGGAUACAAUCAGCAAACAAAAAUUAGUAGCAUUUAACACACCAAUAACAAACUAGCAGAAAAAGAAAUCAAGAAAACAACAUCUUUUGCAAUAGCUACAAAAAAUAAUAAAAGACCUUGGAAUAAAUUUAACCAAGGAGGUGAAACACUUCUAUAAUGUAAACUGCAAAACAAUAAUGGAAGAAAUUAAAGAGGACCCAAACAAAUGGAAAGAAAUCCCAUGCUUAUGGAUUAGAAUAAUUAAUAUUGUUAAAAUGACAAUACUACCCAGAGCAAUCUACAGAUUCAAUGCAGUACCCAUCAAAAUACCAAUGAUAUUUUUCACAGAAGUAGAAAGAACAAUCUUAAAUUUUGUAUGGAACCACGAAAUACCCAAAUAGCCAAACAACCCUGAGCCAAAACAAAAUAAAAAACAACAACAACAACAACAAAAAACCCAAAGCUGAAGUUACCACACUACCUGACUUCAAGAUAUGCUGCAAAGUUAUAGUAAUCCUAAAGGCAUGAUAUUGGUAUGAAAACAGAUACAUAUAGACCAGUAGAACAGGAUAGAAAACCCAGAAAUAAAUUCACAUAUUUGCCGCCAACCAAUUUUUGACAAGGUGCCAAGAAUAUACAUUGGGGAAAAGGCAGUCUUUUCACUAAAUGGUGCUAGAGAAACUGGGUAUCUAUAUGCAGAAGAAUGAAACUAGACCCCUAUGUAUUACCAUAUAAAAAUCAAAUCAAAGUGGAUUAGAAACUUACACACAAGACCCAAAACAUAAAAUUAUAGACAGAAACAUUAGAGGAAAUGCUCCCAGGUCAUCUAGGCAAAGAUUUUAUGUCUAAGGCUUCACAAAUAUAGUCAGAAAAGACAAAAAUAUCCUAAUGGGACUAUAUUAAGCUAAAAAGCUUCUACACAGCAAAGGAAAUAAGCAACAGACUGAAGACACAAUCUGUAAAAUGACAGAAAAUAUUUACAAAUUAUCCAUCUGACAAGUCACUGACAUAAGGAACUCAACUCCACAGCAAAAUUCGGCAAUGCACAUGUACUCCUCAAUUUAAAAUAAAAGUUACAUAAAAAAAAGUCGACAAAGGAUAUGAAUAAUUUUCUUUUAAAAGAAUACAUACAAAUGACCAAGAGUUAUGUGAAAAAAUAUGCUCGCUAUUACUAAUCAUCAGUGAAAUGCAAAUCAAAGCCACAAUGAGAUAUCAUCUCACCUCAGUUACAACGAGUAUUAUCAAAAAACCAAAAAAUAACAAAUGUUGGCCAGGAUACAGAGAAAAGGAACUAAACAGUAUGGAGGUUUCUCAAAAAACUAAAAAUGGGACUGCCAUACAAGCCAGCAACCCUACUCCUGGAUAUUUAUGCAAAGGAAAGGAAAAUAAAAUUUUAUUUUCUCUUUUUCUUCCACAUUUUCAUUUUCUACCAAAUCAAAGAAAUUACAUUUACCUUGUAUGUUCUGUAUCUUCCUGCUUUUCUGCCAUUCUUCAUACUAUUCCUUCAACCUGGAGUGCCCUUUCCCUCCUUUCUGUAUAAACUCUUAUCUUUCCAAAUCUGACUCAAAGGGCAACUUCCUUAAAGCAUUUUUCCUGAUCUACUCCUGCUUUCCCACUUGCCAAAAGGAAUUAAUUUGUCCUUCCCUUAUGCCUCCUCUGCUCUGUGCUAUUAGUGCCAAGCAGAUUUGCUAAUAGCAAAGGUUAUUAUUAAGUCUACCGCCAGAAAGGCGUAUCCAUGUACUUAUGCCCACUGCAUCCUGGGCUACUGUUUAAGUCCACCAGUCACUGAUUACCAGUUUGUCUAAGUCCAGUGAGACAGAAGAUACUCACACACAGAUUAUGUAAAGCAAGUUAAUUACUUAUAGGUCAGCAGCAAGAGACAAAAAAAAAAAAAAACCACCUCAGAUCCAUUGUGAGCCAGUCUCCCAAGACUCAAGAAAGCUGCCAUGGUGGAUGGCAUCUCGACUGCAUAUGCUGGACUUUGCACCACAGCUGAGGCAUCCUGAAAGCCAUCCUGCCUUGGUUAUAUACCUCAGAGGCCACAUGACACAGUGGGCAAAGCUUUGAAGGACAUCCUGUUGCAGAUGAGAGAGGAGCAAAGUCUGAGCUGUCCCUGGCACUUACUCCCUAACUCAAGAUGUUACCUUCUCUGGGAGGGACAGGAACAAUGUCCAGGCUGUUUGAGGCAGUUCCUUCCCGAUUUCAGGAUAUAAUAUUCCCAGCACAUUCUAUGGUUAUUCUUGAGAACUAUGAGCAAGAAAGGGGGAGAUCUAGGUUGGUACAAGACCACCUGGAGAACUGUCCUGCAGAUCUUUCCUCUAUUAGGGGUUUUAAAUUCAUUGAAAGUAUGACAUUGGCUGAUUUUUAUUUAUGUUCUAUUUCUCAAUAUUCUUGGUAUGAUGAUUUGAACAUUAAUAGUUUUUUCAAAAUUACUUCAAAGAGGAUGGAUAUGAAAUCACCAUUAUAACCUACUAAUUACAUAGUUACCUUGAAUACCUGAAAACCAUAAGAGGAUACUUGGGAAUAUUUUUUUUUAUUGUGGUAAACAAACAUGUAAAAUAAAAUUUACCCUGUUAACCAUUUUUAAGUGUACAAGUGAGAACUCCUUUUUUUUCUUUUUGAGACAGAGUUUCGCUCUUGUUGCCCAGACUGGAGUGCAAUGGCAUGAUCUCAUCUAACCGCAACCUCUGCCUCCUGGGUUCAAGUGAUUCUCCUGCCUCAGCCUCCUGAGAAGGUGGGAUUACAGGUGCCCACCACCAUGCUCAGCUAAUUUUGUCUUUUUAGUAGAGAUGGGGUUUCUCCAUGUUGGUCAGCCUGGUCUCGAACUCCCAACUCAGGUGGUCCACCCACCUCAGCCUCCCAAAGUGCUGGGAUUACAGGUGUGAGCCACCACACCCAGCCAAGUGUACAAGUCAGAACUCUUAAGUAUAUUCACAGUGUUGUGCAAUUGAGCUCUAUAACCUUUUCAUCCUGUAACACUGAAACUCUUUAUCCACUAAACUGCAGGUCCCCUCCUACCUCCCCCAGUCCUUAGCAACCAACUUUCUAUUUUCUGUUUCUAUGAUUUUGACUAAUUAAGGUAUUUCAUAUGUGUGGAAUUAUACAGAAUUUGUCAUUUUGUGACUGGCUUAUUUUGCUUAGUGUAAUGACCUCGAGGUUCUUCCAUGUUGUAGUAUGUAACAGAAUUUCCUUUUUUAAGGCUGCAUAUUUCAUUGUGUAUAUAUACCACUUUUUCUAUAUUCGUUCAUCUGUCCGUGGACAUUUCAGUUGUUUCCACCUUGUGUUUAUUAUGAAUAAUUCUGUGAUGAACAUGGAUGUGCAAAUAUCUCUUCCAGGUCCUUCUCUGAAUACUUUUAAAUGUACGUACAGAAGUGAGAUUGCUGGAUUACAUGGUAAUUCUAUUUUUAAUUCUUUCGAGGAACCCUCACACUGUUUUCCACAAUGGCUAUAUCAUUUUACAAUCUCAGCAACAGAGCAUAAGGCUCCCAAUAUCUCCACUUUCUUGCCAACACUUGUUAUUUUGUGUUCAACAGUGUCCAGCCUAAUGACUGUGAGGCUAUAUCUCAUUGCGGUUUUGAUUUGUAUUUCUUCUAUUAGUAGUGAUGUCAAACGCAUUUUCAUAUGUUUCUUGGCCAUUUGUAUAUCUCGUUUGAAGAAUUGUCUAUUCAAGUCCUUUGUACAUUUAAAAAUUGUUUGUUUUUCUUCUUGUUGCUUUGAAAAAGUUCACUAUAUAUUCUAUAAAUGUUGACUUGUAACAAUUUUUAUAUGUAUAUUAACCGCUUAUUAGAUAAACAAUUUGCAAGUAUUUUCUCCCCUUCUGUAGGUUGCCUUUUCACUCUGUUGACUGUUUUUUUUUGAUGCAUGGAAGUUUUUCUGUUUGAUGUAGUCCUGUUUUUCUGUUUUUUCUUUUGUUGCAUGUACUUUGGGUGUCAUAUUCAAGAAAUUAUUGCCAAAUUCAAAUGUCCUGAUUCUUUCCCCCUAGGUUUUCUUCUAGGAGUUUUAUAGUUUUUGGUCUUACCUUCAGGUCUUUAAUCCAUUUUGAGUUAAUUUUUGUAUAUGGUAUAAGGUAGAGGUCCAGCUUUAUUCUUUUGCUUGUGGAUAUCUGGUUUUCCCAACACCUCUCACAACAUUUUGAAGAGAGUGGUGUUUCCCCUUUGUGCAGCUUUGGCGUCCUUGUUGAAAAUCAUUUGGCCGUCUACGCAAGAGUUUAUUUCUGGGCUCCCUAUUCUGUUCCAUUAUUAUAUAUAUCUAUGUCAGUACCUACUGUUUUGAUUGCUGUUGCUUGCAGUGUGUUUUGAAAUAAAAAAGUGUGAAGCUUCCAACUUCAUUCUUCUUUCUUAGUUGUUUUGGCUA